GGAGGUGACUCAAUGGUAAAGUGCUUGCCUUGUAUGCAUGAAGCCCUGGGUUCGAUUCCUCAGCACCACCU
This 71-nucleotide transfer RNA is filed under the name Dipodomys ordii (Ord's kangaroo rat). It matches the Rfam family "tRNA". Rfam says of the family: Transfer RNA (tRNA) molecules are approximately 80 nucleotides in length. Their secondary structure includes four short double-helical elements and three loops (D, anti-codon, and T loops). The record is from Rfam by way of RNAcentral. Lineage: Eukaryota; Metazoa; Chordata; Mammalia; Rodentia; Heteromyidae.